UCGGAUGUGGUGCAGGGUGCACGGCGAAACAUUGUAUGUCUUUAGGGACGGGUUAUAUUCGUAGGACGGGGUUCGACUCCCCGUGUCCGAA
Non-coding RNA from Mycena alexandri, 91 nucleotides. The record is from the annotation of a GenBank genome assembly. NCBI's taxonomy places the organism in Eukaryota, Fungi, Basidiomycota, Agaricomycetes, Agaricales, Mycenaceae.